CCCAGGGCACACGCAUUGGCUCCCCGGGGUGUAACUUGAGACUCAGACUUUCAGAGCUGUCCCCUGUCGCUGUUUAAAUAAGGACAGGAAAAGAAGAGGGGACCUGCCUCCUGCUUCUGGGACCAUCUGCUACCGGCCCCAGCCCAGAUGAUACAGUUAGAAUCUACCCACAGCAUCCUCUCCCGCCUUCAGACAGUUCCAGGAACAAGGUUCAUUACAGAGUAUUGAGAAGGGUUCCUGAUGCGAGAAGGGGGCCACAGAGGAUGAG
This is a long non-coding RNA of Bubalus bubalis (water buffalo), 268 nucleotides long. RefSeq lists it as uncharacterized. Lineage: Eukaryota; Metazoa; Chordata; Mammalia; Artiodactyla; Bovidae. The record is from RefSeq and is a predicted model, not a curated record. The transcript has 3 exons.